This 460-nucleotide ribosomal RNA is filed under the name uncultured bacterium. RNAcentral's name for it is "partial 16S ribosomal RNA". It matches the Rfam family "Bacterial small subunit ribosomal RNA", at positions 338 to 795 of the family's 1533-position model. The record is from RNAcentral.
CCUACGGGAGGCAGCAGUGAGGAAUAUUGGUCAAUGGGCGCGAGCCUGAACCAGCCAAGUAGCGUGAAGGAUGACUGCCCUACGGGUUGUAAACUUCUUUUAUAAAGGAAUAAAGUAAGGCACGAGUGCCAUCUUGUAUGUACUUUAUGAAUAAGGAUCGGCUAACUCCGUGCCAGCAGCCGCGGUAAUACGGAGGAUCCGAGCGUUAUCCGGAUUUAUUGGGUUUAAAGGGAGCGUAGAUGGGUUGUUAAGUCAGUUGUGAAAGUUUGCGGCUCAACCGUAAAAUUGCAAUUGAUACUGGCAGUCUUGAGUACAGUAGAGGUGGGCGGAAGUCGUGGUGUAGCGGUGAAAUGCUUAGAUAUCACGAAGAACUCCGAUGGCGAAGGCAGCUAACUAAACUGCCACUGACACUGAUGCUCGAAAGUGUGGGUAUCAAACAGGAUUAGAUACCCCUGUAGUC